RNAcentral lists this long non-coding RNA (429 nucleotides) under Brachypodium distachyon (stiff brome). Its description in RNAcentral is "long non-coding RNA (BDIS_LNC002394)". The record is from RNAcentral. Lineage: Eukaryota; Viridiplantae; Streptophyta; Magnoliopsida; Poales; Poaceae.
UUUCCCAAACUUAAACACAAGGAUGGCUCAAAUUGCACCAUACCGUUCCCUUCCGUAAGGACGGCAAAAUGUUCAAUUCUGAAUUUAUUAGUCUUUCUUUCUUCUGGCUCUGUCUCCCUCUCCAGCAAAUGUUUUUUGCGUCUCUCUCUCUUCUGCGCCUGCUCUCGGCGGCCAUGCAUGGGGCCUCCUCAUAGGUAAAGAAGGAAUCCUCCCAGGCCCGUCAAAUGGCCAGAAGCGAGCUAAGCGAUUCCUUCCCCCAAAUCGCUAUUUGGCGGUUAGGAUUAAGCGCAUGAAAAAAAAAAUCCAAGAAUCGCGGCAGGGCACACAUGGAGAAAAAAAUAACUGAAUCCGUCUAUUCGACUUCGAACGCAUCAUGACUAGGCGAUCGGCGUCUGCUUAGCUCUUAUGUCUCUCCAACUCACACGGGCG